Triticum dicoccoides is the source of this 3400-nucleotide long non-coding RNA. RefSeq lists it as uncharacterized. NCBI's taxonomy places the organism in Eukaryota, Viridiplantae, Streptophyta, Magnoliopsida, Poales, Poaceae. The record is from RefSeq and is a predicted model, not a curated record. The transcript has 13 exons.
CCCGCGCGUCAAAACCCUAGCCGCCAGCCCUGCGCCCACUCCACCUCGUUCUCCUCCCCGCUCGCUCCAUCCUUUCCCAUGUCGCCGCCCCUCUUCUCCUGUCUUGCGUCGGCCGCCUCCUCUUCUCCCGUCUCGCGUCGGACGCCUCCUCUUCUCCCUGCGUUGUCGGCCCCCUCCCUCCUCCUCCCUCCUUCGUCCUCACAGCCGACCAUCUCCGUCGCUUGGGCCCCAUGGCAGCGGCCGGAUCUUCCAGCCGGGAAAUCGAGCGUCUCGAUGGUGCUAUGACUGAUGCACGGCGACGGCUAGCGUCUGUGAGUGCCACACGCGGUGCAGCAGGCUCAGAGGGCAGCGGGCACGGCAGGCUCGGCAGGCAGCGGGUGCGGUGGUCAAAGCUAGGGGCGCGGAUUGGGGAGAUGCGCACACGAGGAGCGACGGCGACCGCGUCUGCCGCCAACACCGAGGCCAUACUGCCAGUACAGUCCAAGUGGAAUGGAGUACUCAGUUUUGCCACCGAGCGGAGACCAGCUCGCCGCGCAGCUGGAGCAGCGGGUUGAUGUGCCGCAACUAACACUUCGCCAUUGCCCCGACUCCUCCCCGCGGACCAUGGACCCACCGUGUAUGGAGAGCGCCAACGGGGUGAAGAUUUGCCAGACCAGCCGACUUGUGUGAUGUUGCCGCCGCCACAGACCCAUAGUCCUUCUCUUUGUUGGAGUCUUCCUUCUCUGUCUUCUUUUUCGGCAGGAGACAAAACAGUUUGGUGUCUUUGACAUGCUUGGGAUCGACACAUCGUUCAUGCCAUGGUUGGAUUUGAAUGGGGGCAGCCGUUUGAAAUCAAAUUCAGAAGAUACACAACCUAAGAUCGAAAUAUUCCUACCUGAACCAAAGGGUUCUACUGUUUGUGACGUGCUUCUUGUUGAUCAUCUGCUGCUUUGGCACGUCAAGGGCCAAUGCUGGUGUCAGGACCACUGCGAUCACAACCAAAGCCAAGUAGAUGCUGCUCCGCUCUCUACUGAAGAAGCAUUUAUAGGUUAUUCUAUGCAUAAGAUUGCGCUUUUAUGUGUCGUUUCCUUCAAGCUGUCAUUGCAACAGAAGAUGAAGUGUAUCUGUGUGAUGCCGCAUGUCGUAGUUCUAUCACUACGCGGACAUGUGCAAGAAAUGCAAGGAAGAUAGACCCAUAAAUGGCCGUGCAGUACCGGAGCCAGGAGCACCAGGGCGGCACCACCCGAGGUCAGUGCUUCCAUAGCUCUUUGUUUUUUUUAUUUCGUUACUCAUCUAUAUUCAAAGUGAAUGAAAUGUAUGCCUUGGUCUGCACUGUUCAGUUCCACAUGCAAUUUCUUUCCAUUAGCACCAUUAUGACCAUUAUUUCCUAUGCAAGCACACAAUUGAAAAGUUUGUUUGGAUGGUUAAUUUAGUUCUUUGUGUUGGAUCCACAUCUUCUCACGUCUGACAUCAUGAGGAACGGACCCCCUCGACACCAUCCUCUGCAGCGCUACUCUGCUGCCUCCGUUUGUCACAGUUAAGGUUUGUGAUCUCUUCUGCAUUCCGCUUUCCAGGAGUUCUUGCCUUCAACACUGAGGUGGAAUGGCUCUGCCCAUAGUUGUCUCGUGAAGGUGGGGCUCGAAGAAGUAUGGCCCUGAUGCGCUAGAUUCUUUUGUAACUCAAGAGGUUAUAUUUUAAUUGCAUGCACUUACUUUAGCUUAGGGGUUCAUCUGUACGGGAGCACAUCAUUGGAGAGAAAGAUCAUGAUCAAAGGAAAUAGGUUUCAGGCUCAUGCGCCUGUUUUCCUUUUUCCUUUUGAUGGGGCCGUUCAGGUGAGGUGAAGCAAGCAAGCACCUCCCCGUGUUUUAUAUGGCAUGAUGAACUACACGGUAGAGUUCAGCCGAAGAAGAAUCAGGUGAUUCUAGAUUGUUGUGUAAUUGUUUAUAUUCCUAACUGAGAUGGGAUUAUAGUUUAUUUGCUUGAUUAUUGGUCAUGUUUUACUUAGAUAAUCCAUUGAUGGUUGAUCUGGUUAAGUACAUAUGCUAUCCCUUGUUUGUUUAUAUUGCUAGCUGGGAUGGGAUUACAGUUUAUUUGCUUGAUUAUUGGCCGCGUUUACUUAGAUAAUUCAUUGAUGGUUGAUCUUGUUAGCUACAGAUGCUACCCCCUGUUCUGAACAAGCUUUAAUUUUGGUGGACUAAUCCCAGUUUGAUUUUAGGAUGUGCAUGUACCCAGGUGGAUCAAAUACAGAUACCAAUCAUAUAGUAUUGUUUUUACUCGUGUGUUUUUCUUGUGCCUGCCAAACAUUUCAAAAAUUGAUUAUAUCAUUCAGAUGUAUUCAGGCUGGGUUUCUAUGAUCCAAAAAAAACAUCUGCCAUGGCUUUCUUUUUUACAUACAAAACUAAGUGUGGAGUUGUGUAUAUGUUCAUUGCUUUCUUAUCACAUUGCAUUUGUCGGAGGUGCUGUACUGAUCUGAAGGAAAUGCUUUUAUAUUUCCAAGUUGAUCAACUACACAACUUCUGAUCCUAAAGCCUUUCUUUAAAAGGGGCUGGUCAAUGCAGCUCUCCAUGUUGUGCUAUCUUGUUAUUGGGCUCUUUUUCGUUACUUAAAAUGGUCAGAUAUCUCUGAUGUUAAAUUCGUGGUUGAUUGCUUAUAUUCAAAAUAACUAUGUUAGUACACUGAAGCCAAUUUUUACAUUGUUAGUGAAGUUGGCUAAAUAGUUUUUGUGCCACUAAGAUAUAUAUGUGCACUGCAUUCUAACCCUAUAAAUUGUUGUGCUAUUAGUUUAAUCCGGAAUAUAAUUAUCUCAGUACCGGUACACUCUGCAAUAUAAUUAUGUUAUAUUCUGCUUUUGUCAGUUUGCUGGUCCAUAUUAAUUUCCUCGAGCUUAUUUUCACAUCUCGUCAUAUUUACACCUCUCCGCCGACUGCCACCUAUCAUGGAGGGAGAUGGCUUGGCCAGGCCGUCAACACCCAUCGGCAACUUCCGGCAGGCGCCGUCCUGUUCUUCCUCCCCUUACUCUGAUGCUUUCAUGGCCAAAAUCAUUAGCAGGAGCAAGAAGGUUCUCUUAGUCUUUAAUCCUGACUAUAAAAAUCCAUUGAUGGAAGCUGGGGAGGGCCGAGAUGAACAUCCGGCUCCCUGGGUCUAAGCCGUCAAGAUGGUAGAGAUAACGUUUCCAUGUCAUCUACUCCAGCAGCCGGACAAGGCAUAUAAAACCAUAGAUCCUUGCUCCUCAGGCCGCAAAAUGGUCACAGCGAUGUCUACGACCUCCUCCUAGAUGUAUUAAUCUCAAUCUCAUGUUUGAUUUUCUUACCUUUUCUCUUCUAAUGAUGUAAUUUCUUUUACUAAGAUAACACCAUGUUUGUUGUAAUGCCUUAUUUGAUGUAAGAUCCCUUUUCUAUUUUGAAUGAAUUUACUGCAUAUA